RNAcentral lists this ribosomal RNA (595 nucleotides) under uncultured Bacteroidota bacterium. Its description in RNAcentral is "bacterial SSU rRNA". It matches the Rfam family "Bacterial small subunit ribosomal RNA", at positions 122 to 715 of the family's 1533-position model. Lineage: Bacteria; Pseudomonadati; Bacteroidota. The record is from RNAcentral.
CAACCUGCCGUCUACUCUUGGACAGCCUUCUGAAAGGAAGAUUAAUACAAGAUGGCAUCAUGAGUCCGCAUGUUCACAUGAUUAAAGGUAUUCCGGUAGACGAUGGGGAUGCGUUCCAUUAGAUAGUAGGCGGGGUAACGGCCCACCUAGUCUUCGAUGGAUAGGGGUUCUGAGAGGAAGGUCCCCCACAUUGGAACUGAGACACGGUCCAAACUCCUACGGGAGGCAGCAGUGAGGAAUAUUUGUCAAUGGGCGAGAGCCUGAACCAGCCAAGUAGCGUGAAGGAUGACUGCCCUAUGGGUUGUAAACUUCUUUUAUAAAGGAAUAAAGUCGGGUAUGUAUACCCGUUUGCAUGUACUUUAUGAAUAAGGAUCGGCUAACUCCGUGCCAGCAGCCGCGGUAAUACGGAGGAUCCGAGCGUUAUCCGGAUUUAUUGGGUUUAAAGGGAGCGUAGAUGGAUGUUUAAGUCAGUUGUGAAAGUUUGCGGCUCAACCGUAAAAUUGCAGUUGAUACUGGAUAUCUUGAGUGCAGUUGAGGCAGGCGGAAUUCGUGGUGUAGCGGUGAAAUGCUUAGAUAUCACGAAGAACUCCGAUUG